Molecule: transfer RNA, 73 nt
Filed under: Ovis aries (sheep)
Lineage: Eukaryota; Metazoa; Chordata; Mammalia; Artiodactyla; Bovidae
Rfam family: tRNA
About the family: Transfer RNA (tRNA) molecules are approximately 80 nucleotides in length. Their secondary structure includes four short double-helical elements and three loops (D, anti-codon, and T loops).
Source: Rfam by way of RNAcentral
UCCCUGGUGGUCCAGUGGCUAAGACUCCUUGCUCCCAAUUCAGGGGGCCCAGGUUUGAUCCCUGGUCAGGGAA